Molecule: non-coding RNA, 95 nt
Organism: Mycena leptocephala
Lineage: Eukaryota; Fungi; Basidiomycota; Agaricomycetes; Agaricales; Mycenaceae
Source: the annotation of a GenBank genome assembly
AACCCGGUGGCACAAGGUGUGUGCCUGCCUUUGUUUGUUGUUGAGGGAAAACAAAUUAUUCGCAGGAGGACUCUGUUCGAUUCGGAGUCGGGUAA